GAUGAACGCUGGCGGCGUGCCUAAUACAUGCAAGUCGAGCGCACAGACGAGGAGCUUGCUCCUAUUACGUUAGCGGCGGACGGGUGAGUAACACGUGGGUAACCUGCCUAUAAGACUGGGAUAACUUCGGGAAACCAAAGCUAAUACCGCAUAAUAUUUUUAAACACAUGGUUCAAGAGUGAAAGAUGGUAUUGCUGUACCUUAUAGAUGUCUCCGCUCGGAUUAAGCUGGUUGUUAGGUUAAAGCCUUCCCAGGGCAACGAUGCUUAGCCGACCGGAGAGGGUGAUAGGCCACACGGGAACUGAGACACGGCCAAGACCCCUAGGGGAGGCAGCAGAAGGGAAUCUUCGGCAAUGGGCGAAAGCUUGACGGAGCAACGCCGCGUGAGGGAUGAAGGUUUCCGGUUCGAAAACCCCUGUUAUUAGGGAAGAACAUAUGUGGAAGUAAAUGCGCACGUCGUGACGGUACCUACUCAGAAAGGCACGGCUAACUACGUG
RNAcentral lists this ribosomal RNA (497 nucleotides) under uncultured bacterium. Its description in RNAcentral is "partial 16S ribosomal RNA". It matches the Rfam family "Bacterial small subunit ribosomal RNA", at positions 28 to 507 of the family's 1533-position model. The record is from RNAcentral.